Molecule: ribosomal RNA, 427 nt
Filed under: uncultured bacterium
Lineage: Bacteria
Description: partial 16S ribosomal RNA
Rfam family: Bacterial small subunit ribosomal RNA
Source: RNAcentral
GUGGGGAAUAUUGGGCAAUGGGGGAAACCCUGACCCAGCGACGCCGCGUGAGGGAAGACGGCCUUCGGGUUGUAAACCUCUUUUGUACGGGAAGAAGGAAGUGACGGUACUGUACGAAUAAGUCCCGGCUAACUACGUGCCAGCAGCCGCGGUAAUACGUAGGGGACGAGCGUUGUCCGGAAUUACUGGGCGUAAAGGGCGCGCAGGCUGUGCUGCAAGUCAGCUGUGAAAUGUAUGGGCUUAACCCGGGCAUGCGGUUGAGACUGCAGUGCUGGAGUGCUGUAGAGGCAAGUGGAAUUCCCAGUGUCGCGGUGAAAUGCGUAGAUAUUGGGAAGAACAGCGGUUGCGAAGGCGACUUGCUGGGCAGCAACUGACGCUGAGGCGCGAAAGCCAGGGGAGCAAACGGGAUUAGAAACCCUUGUAGUCC